AGCAAAGUGGGACGCAUGGAAGGCUGUUGAAGGAAAAUCCACCGAUGAAGCUAUGAACGACUACAUUUCCAAGGUGAAACAGUUGCUGGAAGAAGCUGCUGCUUCAGCUUAAGGCUCUGUGUCUAUAUUGGACUAUGUAAUCUUAUUUUCCAGUGGCUGGUCUGAUUUUAGUGUUACAGCAGGUGUUUGCUUUUCCAGGCUGAAAAACAAUGCUGCUAUAAGCAUGUUUGAACCUUAUGUUAAUAAAAAGCAAAAAGAAGUUUGAAUUUGGUUUUCUUUUUA
Molecule: long non-coding RNA, 282 nt
Organism: Capsicum annuum
Lineage: Eukaryota; Viridiplantae; Streptophyta; Magnoliopsida; Solanales; Solanaceae
Exons: 2
Source: RefSeq, a predicted model, not a curated record